Molecule: ribosomal RNA, 457 nt
Filed under: Escherichia coli
Lineage: Bacteria; Pseudomonadati; Pseudomonadota; Gammaproteobacteria; Enterobacterales; Enterobacteriaceae
Description: bacterial SSU rRNA
Rfam family: Bacterial small subunit ribosomal RNA
Source: RNAcentral
AAAUUGAAGAGUUUGAUCAUGGCUCAGAUUGAACGCUGGCGGCAGGCCUAACACAUGCAAGUCGAACGGUAACAGGAAGAAGCUUGCUUCUUUGCUGACGAGUGGCGGACGGGUGAGUAAUGUCUGGGAAACUGCCUGAUGGAGGGGGAUAACUACUGGAAACGGUAGCUAAUACCGCAUAACGUCGCAAGACCAAAGAGGGGGACCUUCGGGCCUCUUGCCAUCGGAUGUGCCCAGAUGGGAUUAGCUUGUUGGUGGGGUAACGGCUCACCAAGGCGACGAUCCCUAGCUGGUCUGAGAGGAUGACCAGCCACACUGGAACUGAGACACGGUCCAGACUCCUACGGGAGGCAGCAGUGGGGAAUAUUGCACAAUGGGCGCAAGCCUGAUGCAGCCAUGCCGCGUGUAUGAAGAAGGCCUUCGGGUUGUAAAGUACUUUCAGCGGGGAGGAAGGGAG